AUUGAACGCUGGCGGCAGGCUUAACACAUGCAAGUCGAGCGGGGUGAUGGUGCUUGCACUAUCACUUAGCGGCGGACGGGUGAGUAAUGCUUAGGAAUCUGCCUAUUAGUGGGGGGCAACAUCUCGAAAGGGAUGCUAAUACCGCAUACGUCCUACGGGAGAAAGCAGGGGAUCACUUGUGACCUUGCGCUAAUAGAUGAGCCUAAGUCGGAUUAGCUAGUUGGUGGGGUAAAGGCCUACCAAGGCGACGAUCUGGAGCGGGUCUGAGAGGAUGAUCCGCCACACUGGGACUGAGACACGGCCCAGACUCCUACGGGAGGCAGCAGUGGGGAAAAUUGGACAAUGGGGGGAACCCUGAUCCAGCCAUGCCGCGUGUGUGAAGAAGGCCUUAUGGUUGUAAAGCACUUUAAGCGAGGAGGAGGCUCUUUUGGUUAAUACCCAAGAUGAGUGGACGUUACUCGCAGAAUAAGCACCGGCUAACUCUGUGCCAGCCGCCGCCGUAA
RNAcentral lists this ribosomal RNA (503 nucleotides) under uncultured bacterium. RNAcentral describes it as "partial 16S ribosomal RNA". It matches the Rfam family "Bacterial small subunit ribosomal RNA", at positions 30 to 523 of the family's 1533-position model. The record is from RNAcentral.